This 1095-nucleotide long non-coding RNA is filed under the name Gallus gallus (chicken). RNAcentral's name for it is "lncRNA (ENSGALG00010005197.1)". The record is from RNAcentral. Lineage: Eukaryota; Metazoa; Chordata; Aves; Galliformes; Phasianidae.
UAGCCCUCAGGCAUGAUCAAAUAGUGUCAUAGCAUAUCUUAAAAUUGGUAGCUAUGCUUUGAUGACAGAGAAACUUGCAUGCAAGGGAGGAAAACUUCUCUUCAAGGCAAGAGUUGGACUUAAAACAACAAAGAAAAUCACAGUGGUUUGUGUUGGAAGGAGCUUUAAGGAUCAUCCAGUUCCAUACCCCCAUGACAUCACAGGGUUGUCAUCCAUUACAUCAGGCUGCUCAGGGCCCCAUUCAACCUGGCCUUGAGCCCCUUCAGGGGUGGGGCAUCCUCAACUUCUCUGGGCAUCCUGUGCCAGUGUCUCACCACUCUCUGAGUAAAGGAUUCCUUCCUAACAUCUAACCCAAAUCUCCCUUCUUUUAAUUUAAAGCCGUUACACCUUGUCCUAUCACUACAUAAAAAGUCAGUCUCCUUCCUGGUUACAAGCUCUUGGUCUUGCGGAACCUCAUUAUGGUUCACCUGGGCCUACUUUUCAUGCCUUUUGGUCCCUCUGGAUGGCAUUCUUUCCUUCUGUUUUAUCAGCUGCACUACUCAGCUUGGUGUCAUCUGCCAACUUGCUGACAGGGCAAUCAAUCCCACUGUCUGUGUCACUGAGAAAGAUAUUGAAGGGCACCGGUCCCAGGAGAGAUACCUGAGGGACAGCAUUCAUGACCGGCCUCCACCUGGACAUAGAGCUGUUGACGACAAUUUGCAUGUGUUCAAAUUUCUAAAAGUGUUUAUCUUGCUGAGGACAAAUGAUUCAAAUUUUCACUAUUUAGGAAGGAUAUAUUUAUAUAAUGGCUUUUUAAAAUAAAAAAAUAUAUAUUCAUAGCAAUUUCUCUUAAGGAUAAUGAUUAAUUAUUUAUGUUUUUUCAGAGUUUAAAGAUGUGGUAAUUAUUUUAGGUUCUUAGUCUUAAGCAGAUUAAAACAUCUUCCAAUUUUUCUAUUUCCAGUGGAAAUAUUCCCUUUUAAUGGGAAAUACGAACUCUUACUUUCUCACCGUAUCAUAUUAAAUAUGUUACUGAUCAGUUAAUUGUUCUAAGUCCUAUUUCGUUUCACUGUGAAAGAAAAACAUCCUGAUGUGUGUGUGGUUUUGGUUUUUUUUCAG